GCGCCGCCGCAGCCAGCAUGGUCGAGGGGUCAAGAAGCCGAGGACGGAUACCGAGCGGGUGGAGGGCCGAGCCGGCCCGGCUUCUGCCAGGUCUGGCCUCUGGGUGCACGCCAGCGACGGUCAUUGGAACUUUGUCCAUUGACCCUUCUUGGACUCCAAUGACGGACUUUCAUAGAGGAAGCGGCAAUUAUCUAGACUUGCUGGAGGAAAUUGCUCCUCUACACUGGCAGGAUUUAACCCUUAGCUUAAGUCAGCUCCCUGUUGGCUCUGGUGGCACCUCAAGUUCAGUCAUGGGAGACUCCUCGCCUUGGAGUAAGAUGAGGGGAUUGUCUUGAGGAGGCUCCGUUUUAUCCAGAAUUAAUCCAGGACAUCGCUUUUAUGGGAAACAGAGGGCUUGCCAAAGACAAAGGUUCCUUUUCCACUUAGCGAUAGGGACUUCUGUAAAUUUCACAUCCUUAAAUAUGGAAGCAGUAAUCAUAGACUCAAGGAGCCCUGUAGACAGCGUUUGGACCACACCCGAGGUGGUCGGCAAGCCUUAAGAUCCCAGCCAGCAGUCUGACUGCUGGGCACUCAUCUUUAGCUACCACACUGCAAGCCUCAGGUGAUGGUGGGGGUAGCUCAAUGGACUGACUUCUCUUAAAUAGUUAAACUUGUGCUUGGCACAUAGUAGGUGCUCAAUAAAUAUUCAUUACUGUAA
Molecule: long non-coding RNA, 697 nt
Organism: Myotis lucifugus (little brown bat)
Lineage: Eukaryota; Metazoa; Chordata; Mammalia; Chiroptera; Vespertilionidae
Exons: 2
Source: RefSeq, a predicted model, not a curated record